UCUUGAGAGUAGGAAAGGGUUUGUAUCAUAACAUCGGGGCGUUUCAUUUUAUGAGAUAAAUGGAAAUGAGGAAAAACUUCCUUUCUACGGGACACCACUUCAUAUGAUGAUUGCAGGAAUUUGGAAUGGUGAAGUGAAAGAAAAAAGAUGAAUAAACCGAAGAUGACAACAGAGAAGGGAAUUCCCAGUAACUCGAGGGUCCUGAUGCUGCUGGGUCAGCUGGAGAGGAUGAGUGGGGAGGCUGUGCUCGCAGACGUGGAGACAGCCCGGCACGUCACGGCCAAGAUCUUGCACCUCAUCCAAACUCAAGAGAAAAUCAGGAAGGAGAUCAUGGCCAAGGGUUCGACUGGGAUGGAAGUCAUCCUGACGUCUUUAGAGAGCUCACGGGAUCUACAGACGGUGCUGAAUAUACUCUACAUUCUGAAUGAGUUGGUUUCAGUGGGCGGGGGUCGCAGGGUGGGGGUGCUGGUGUCUAAGGGAGGAACGGCAAUUCUGCUCCAGCUGUUGCUAAGUGCUAGUAAGGACUCGCCCCCCAGUGAGGAGCUUAUGUUGCAGCUCCACUCCAUUCUGGCCAAAGUGGGACCAAAAGACAGGAAGUUUGGCAUCAAAGCUCGUAUCCAUGGAGCCCUGAACAUCACAGUAAACCUCCUGAAACAGAACCUGCAGAACCAUAAACUCCUGUUGCCUUGCCUACAAGUCCUGCGGGUUUACUCCAGCAACUCUGUGAACGCUGUCUCUCUGGGAAAGAGUGGUGUUGUAGAUUUGAUGUUCAAAAUCAUCGGUCCCUACAGUAAGAAGAAUACCAGUAUACUGAAAGUGGCUCUGGACACAUUGGCAGCUCUGCUGAAAUCAAAGACCAAUGCUCGCCGGGCGGUGGACCGUGCCUAUGUGCCUAUGCUGCUGGCCAUCUACCAGGACUGGCAUCGCAACGACACACGCCACCGGCACAUGCUCAUACGCAAGGGCAUUCUGGGAUGCAUCAAAAACAUCACCAACAUCAAGCUGGGAAGGAAGGCCUUCAUUCACGCAGACGGCAUGAGGAUUCUGUACAGCACCUCCACUGAGUGCCUUCCGGUGAGGACUCUGGAUCCUCUUGUUAAUACCUCCAGCCUCAUAAUGCGGAAGUGUUUCCCCAAAAACCGCCUGCCUCUCCCCACCAUCAAGAGCGUCUUCCACCACCAGCUGCCCCACGUCCCGGUGGGGGGGCCCGUCGCCCAGCUCUACAGCCAGCCGCCUGAGGUGGAUGAUGUUGUGGAUGAGAGUGACGAUAAUGACGACACUGAGCCUGACGCAGAGAAUGACACUGAGAACGAGGAGGAAGACAAAGAACUCAACGCUCAGAAUGAUGACAUUGAAACGGACAUCAAUAAACUCCGCCCCAAAAAGAACCUGAGUAGGCCUUUUGAGGAGUUGAAGAUGUAUGAACGUUUUUUCCCGGAACUCUCUGAAGACUUUAAGGACUACUUUGAUUGUGAGAAGACAUGUUCAAACUCGGCACCACAAGCCCCGAAGUCUCUUGGCCCGAUCAUUGUCCCCACCGCACAGGUACAGGCCCCGGCUCGUUCGGGCUCCCCCCACGGGGAGGCCUGCCUGGCCAACGACGCAUCCUGCAGCCCCCCUCUGGACCUGGACAACAUUCAGAUCUCCAAAGACUGUGACAGCAACCUCCGACCCCGCCCCGCAGAGGGCCUGCAGGAAGAGCUGGCGUGUGAGAUGGAGCGCAUUGCCCUGGACGGAGGUGUUUCUCCCCAGCCAAUCAGAGAGCACUCCUCUGAGCGCGAGGACGACAGCAGCUCCCACUCCUCGGGAGAGCAGGCGGUUCUGGAAGUGCCUGACACUGCCGCCUUGCUCCCGCUCCACGACCCGGAGCUUUACAUCGACAUGGCAAAGAGCACGCGCUCUGUCCCCAACUACACUGAGGUGGCUUACCCCGACUACUUUGGCCACGUCCCGCCCCCCUUCCGGGAACACAUCCUGGAGAGGGUGUAUGGGGUGCAGAGGACAAAAAUCUUCCAGGACAUUGAGAGGCUAAUAUACCCCAGCGACAUUCUUGAGAGAGUGGUGUAUGAUCUAGAUCUGCAGAGCUGUCCAAUGAUCAGCGACGGGGAGGCUCUGAAAUUCAACUCUCAGUUUGAGUCUGGAAACCUGAGGAAAGCUGUGCAAGUGAGAAAAUUCGAGUAUGACCUCAUCCUGAACUCUGACAUCAACAGUAACCAUUACCACCAGUGGUUCUAUUUCGAAGUGAGCGGCAUGCGCACUGGCACCCCCUAUCGCUUCAACAUCAUCAACUGUGAAAAGUCCAACAGCCAGUUCAACUAUGGUAUGCAGGCGCUGAUGUACUCUGUGCAGGAAGCCAUCAGCGGACGGCCUCGCUGGGUUCGGACGGGGACAGACAUCUGUUACUAUAAAAACCACUUUUCCAGGAGCUCCAUUGCAGCAGGGGGACAGAAGGGCAAAUCUUACUAUACCCUGACCUUCACCGUGACCUUUCACCACAAGGAUGAUGUCUGUUACUUCGCCUACCACUACCCCUACACCUAUUCCACCCUCAAGAUGCACCUGCAGAAGCUGCAGGCCCAGUGCGCCCCCCAGAUUUACUUGCGUCAGCAGGUCCUGUGUGAGACUUUGGGGGGAAACAGCUGCCCCCUGCUAACCAUCACUGCCAUGCCAGAGUCCUCCUCCUGUGACCACAUCUGCCAAUUCAGGAACCGGCCGUACGUGUUCCUGACGGCACGGGUGCACCCUGGAGAGACCAACGCCAGCUGGGUGAUGAAGGGAACUCUGGAGUUCCUGAUGAGCUGCAGCCCUGUGGCCCAGAGCCUGAGGGAGGCCUACAUUUUUAAGAUUGUCCCCCUGCUCAACCCAGACGGAGUCAUCAACGGCAACCACCGCUGCUCUCUGAGCGGAGAGGACCUGAACCGGCAGUGGCAGAGUCCUAACGCUGAGCUGCACCCCACCAUCUUCCACACCAAGGGCCUUCUGCAGUACCUGGCUGCCACCCAGAGGGCGCCACUGGUGUUCUGUGAUUAUCACGGUCAUUCCCGUAAGAAGAAUGUGUUCAUGUAUGGCUGCAGUAUCAAGGAGACAGUGUGGCAGACUAACGUUAGUGCCACCUCCUAUGACCUUCACGAAGACCUGGGAUACAGGACUCUGCCGAAGAUCUUGAGCCAGCUGGCUCCAGCGUUCAGCAUGUCCAGCUGCAGUUUUGUGGUGGAGAAGUCGAAGGAGGCGACGGCUCGCGUUGUGGUGUGGCGCGAGAUUGGCGUGCAGAAGAGCUACACCAUGGAGAGCACGCUGUGUGGGUGUGACCAGGGCAAGUACAAGGGGCUCCAGAUGGGCACCAGGGAGCUGGAGGAGAUGGGAGCGCAGUUCUGCGUAGCCCUGCUCAGGCUGAAGAGGCUCACCUCCCCCCUGGACUUCCGCCAGCACGCACACUUCCUGGACGUAGAGAGCGAGCUGAUUGAGACCAACUGCAAAGUCAUCAGCCCCACCACCUACGUGCUUGAGGAGGACGAGCCGUCCUUCCUGGAGGAAGUGGACUACAGUGCCGAAAGCAAUGAGGAGAACGGGAACGAGACCGCUGGUGAUGACGACAGGCUGUCGGACUCUGAAUCUACCCUGCGGGACUCGCUGUCCUGAGGGAAGUCCCUCCUCCUAAGGACAGUGAGUGUGGGAGCUUGGUUAGGGGACCUCCAUUGCUAAAGACUCCUGGCCACCCUGUCAGAGCUCCUCGGGAGUCUUCACCUUCUCCACAAAACCCCCUAAUGCUGUCUCUGGCAGGAACAGUCACCUCUUACAACAGGAACACCAGUCUGGCUGCUUUUCCUGGACUCUGUAGAGCGGUUGGACCACAUCCACUUGUGGUCAGAGAGUUAAACCCUGGAGGGGAGAGCGGGAGGAGGAGCCACGAAGGGGAGGUGUGGAAUUUUAAUCCCGGGGAAACGCAACGCUCUCCUGCAGUUCCUGACAUGUUCCCCACACAGCCCUGGAGCGCAGAGACAAAGGGCCCCCUAA
This is an RNA transcript of Megalops cyprinoides (Indo-Pacific tarpon), 4014 nucleotides long. It is a transcript of the gene named ATP/GTP binding protein 1, with no coding region annotated. Lineage: Eukaryota; Metazoa; Chordata; Actinopteri; Elopiformes; Megalopidae. The transcript has 27 exons. The record is from RefSeq and is a predicted model, not a curated record.